This 396-nucleotide ribosomal RNA is filed under the name Bacillus cereus. RNAcentral describes it as "bacterial SSU rRNA". It matches the Rfam family "Bacterial small subunit ribosomal RNA", at positions 557 to 952 of the family's 1533-position model. Lineage: Bacteria; Bacillati; Bacillota; Bacilli; Caryophanales; Bacillaceae. The record is from RNAcentral.
GGCGUAAGCGCGCGCAGGUGGUUUCUUAAGUCUGAUGUGAAAGCCCACGGCUCAACCGUGGAGGGUCAUUGGAAACUGGGAGACUUGAGUGCAGAAGAGGAAAGUGGAAUUCCAUGUGUAGCGGUGAAAUGCGUAGAGAUAUGGAGGAACACCAGUGGCGAAGGCGACUUUCUGGUCUGUAACUGACACUGAGGCGCGAAAGCGUGGGGAGCAAACAGGAUUAUAUACCCUGGUACUCCACGCCGUAAACGAUGAGUGCUAAGUGUUAGAGGGUUUCCGCCCUUUAGUGCUGAAGUUAACGCAUUAAGCACUCCGCCUGGGGAGUACGGCCGCAAGGCUGAAACUCAAAGGAAUUGACGGGGGCCCGCACAAGCGGUGGAGCAUGUGGUUUAUUUC